GUGGGGAAUCUUGCGCAAUGGGCGAAAGCCUGACGCAGCCAUGCCGCGUGAAUGAUGAAGGUCUUAGGAUUGUAAAAUUCUUUCACCGGGGACGAUAAUGACGGUACCCGGAGAAGAAGCCCCGGCUAACUUCGUGCCAGCAGCCGCGGUAAUACGAAGGGGGCUAGCGUUGCUCGGAAUUACUGGGCGUAAAGGGCGCGUAGGCGGACAGUUUAGUCAGAGGUGAAAGCCCAGGGCUCAACCUUGGUAUUGCCUUUGAUACUGGCUGUCUUGAGUACGGGAGAGGUGAGUGGAACUCCGAGUGUAGAGGUGAAAUUCGUAGAUAUUCGGAAGAACACCAGUGGCGAAGGCGACUCACUGGCCCGUUACUGACGCUGAGGCGCGAAAGCGUGGGGAGCAAACAGGAUUAGAAACCCUAGUAGUCC
Molecule: ribosomal RNA, 425 nt
Filed under: uncultured bacterium
Lineage: Bacteria
Description: partial 16S ribosomal RNA
Rfam family: Bacterial small subunit ribosomal RNA
Source: RNAcentral